This 366-nucleotide ribosomal RNA is filed under the name uncultured eukaryote. RNAcentral describes it as "partial 18S ribosomal RNA". It matches the Rfam family "Eukaryotic small subunit ribosomal RNA", at positions 592 to 976 of the family's 1831-position model. The record is from RNAcentral.
CAAUAGCGUAUAUUAAAGUUGUUGCAGUUAAAAAGCUCGUAGUUGAAUUUCUGGCGGGCGCGCCGGUCUUCCAAGUGUUGUACUGGGCGCAGUCCGCCAUCCUUGUGGAGAGGGCUCGCAUUGAGUUGCGUGUCGGAUCUGCAUCAUUUACUGUGAAAAAAUUAGAGUGUUUAAAGCAGGCUGUCGCUUGGAUACAUUAGCAUGGAAUAAUAAGAUAGGACUUCGGUCUAUUUUGUUGGUUGCGAACCGAGGUAAUGAUUAAUAGGGAUAGUUGGGGGUAUUCAUAUUUAAUUGUCAGAGGUGAGAUUCUUGGAUUUAUGAAAGAUGAACAACUGCGAAAGCAUUUACCAAGGAUGUUUUCAUUAA